UUUGGGAAAAAAGGGGUUUUGGGAAAACAUUGGCGUUUCUCGGACUCAUGGAAUCCAUCUGGCUUAUGGUAGACAAGUCUGUGUACACGCAUCUCUACAACGCAUUAAUUCAAUCUUUCCCGCAGAUCAAUUUUGUGGUGGAGGGCGCUAUUGCCAGCAUAUUAGUAUGGGGAUUGAUUUUAUUGAAACGAGACUCGGAGAGAUUGCGCGAUGGCAAUGCGUUGCGACCUUCAGGUAACGUUAUUGAUUAAUGCGUUAUGUACGAUGGAGAGAAAAAAACAACAAAUGAAAAAGACCUUCGUAGUGGAAGUUAUUGAUAAAAAGAAGAUCCUUACUCAUCUCCGACCAAUUCCUUAGUUAAUACACGAUUCAAGAAAACCCCAA
This is a long non-coding RNA of Daphnia magna, 384 nucleotides long. RefSeq lists it as uncharacterized. The record is from RefSeq and is a predicted model, not a curated record. NCBI's taxonomy places the organism in Eukaryota, Metazoa, Arthropoda, Branchiopoda, Diplostraca, Daphniidae. The transcript is spliced from 2 exons.